This 482-nucleotide long non-coding RNA is filed under the name Gouania willdenowi (blunt-snouted clingfish). RNAcentral's name for it is "lncRNA (ENSGWIG00000010494.1)". Lineage: Eukaryota; Metazoa; Chordata; Actinopteri; Blenniiformes; Gobiesocidae. The record is from RNAcentral.
GUCACACUCACCGCAGUGAGGGGGCGCGUUUUGUCUCGCUGGCGCUCUGGGAUUAUUAACUCGUAAUUUCUUCUUUUUUCCGGCGUUGUUUUCGCUAUUUACCUUCAACACUAAUCUCUAUUGAAGACUGCAAAGACUUUUAUUCACACAGUGGAGAUGUAGGAGGCUGCCAAAGAAGGGUUCACUGACCCACUGCAGGCUGCUCUUUCCUACCUGUGGGCUUGAGUCGCACUCCGCAGACAUCUUGAACCUAAAGGCCUGGGAAAAGUUAAUAAGGAGGUUCGAUCAACUGGCACCGCCCCACCUGUUUACCCUCACCUAAGUCAUCAUCACUGCCAUUGUUUUCUUCAAGUUUCUACAUUGGAGCAUUGGACAGAGAAUCCAGGUGGGAUGCACAUUCUAUGAUGGUCACCUUAGAAUCCAUAUUAUCACUCAUUAGAUCAUUGUUGGUUGUAAUAUUGAAAUAAUUAAUAAUCAAGCUU